CAGACGGCAUAACACAAUCCCCCACCCGGUUAGGCAACCGCCACCACGCACGACACGCUCACAUCACAUCACAUAGCACCAAAGCACAGGCGGCCUAGUCGGCUUGCAGAAAGGAUGGCCGCCGCGGUCGCCUUGGCAAGCCCUCUCCGGCGACUCCUCCACCUCCCUUUCCCGCGCCGCGCUAUCCCCACACCACUCCGCUUCUUCGCGCGAGGGCGGUGUGACCUGGCCCUCGUCGUCUCGGCGGCCGCAGUCGGAGAUUCGUCUGCUAAGGGGAGCGUGCACAGGCAUGUAAUCGAGGAAGUCAUGGACAUUCUGGAUAUGGCACAAAGGGCUUCCCAACGGAGAGACGUCUUCCACACCAGUUUUCUUACGCCGCCUAUCAUAGCGGAGGCUAUGCUAGCAAUUGAAAAGUUAGCUGAUAUCAAAGCAGUAGCUCAGGGGGGCUAUCCACAGGCUGAGCGGUGCCGAAUUUCGGUUGGGCAUCCAGACUCUAUGAGAAGUGACCCAGAUGUAGUUGCUGCUUUGAGCAUCUCCGGGAAUUUCCGAUUGGAACCCUGUUCUCAUGGUGACUUUCUCGGUGCUAUUCUUGGGGCAGGAAUUACAAGGGAGAAAGUUGGAGAUAUACUUUUACAGGGGGAAAGAGGUGCUCAGGUCCUUGUUGAUCCAGAGCUUGUUGACUAUCUGACUUCCACACUAGAAAAGGUGGGGAAAGUUGGUGUUUCAUGCACCCAGAUUCCCUUGCUUGCUAUAGAGUAUGAGCCACCAAGGACCAAAUCUUUUAAAACUGUAGAAUCAUCACUUCGGGUUGAUGCUGUGGCCAGUGCAGGAUUCAAAAUAUCACGCACAAAGCUUGGUAGCAUGAUCAGUUUUGGAGAUGUUCGUGUGAAUUGGUCACUGGUUUCGAAAAGUGGAGCUACCCUAAAGGCUGGAGAUGUUGUUUCUGUCAGUGGGAUGGGGAGAUUAAAGUUCACGCUGAUGGAACAAUUUUUCUGGUGUUUGAGAGGCAUUCCACCAGUGCAGGUUUUUGAGAAUAUGUUGGACCUUGCAUUGUAUUGUGUAUGCAAUUGGGGAAAUCGUGACUACGAAGAAAGGCAAAUAUGUCGUUCAGUUGAUUCAAUAUUUGUAGGCCCGUGACUGAUCAAUUGUUCUCUGAAGAAUACCUGACUCGUGAGUUUGCAAACUGCUCAGUUGCUUACACAAGCAUAAGGGCUGCAGCUGCCUACCUUUGCCUACCUGCAAAUACUAUUUACGAUGAAACUGAUCCAUAGUGUUUAGAAUGGAAAAGGACAAGUGGACAGUACUUGUAAAGUAUAUGUGACAACUUAUCUUUAAAGUCCAGCUGAAAUUGAGAAUGAAAUUUAAAAGGAUCAAAGUCCCUCCGAACUCCAACUCCUGUGAGGACUUGUUCUGCUUUGGGGCAAAAAGGGAAAAGAAAAGUAUACAUUUUGGAAACCAAUGGAAAUGUGUUUCUUCUAUUCAUACUAAUAAAGAGCAAUUCGGAAACAACAUCUUCAGUAAUUUCUGUCAUCAGGAAACAUGUGACAUGACUACGAUAUGGUAGGAAACCUUUGCACUUGGGUAAAUUAAUAACUAUGGGUCGUAACUUCUACUCCCUUUUUUU
Molecule: RNA transcript, 1624 nt
Organism: Triticum dicoccoides
Lineage: Eukaryota; Viridiplantae; Streptophyta; Magnoliopsida; Poales; Poaceae
Gene name: putative RNA-binding protein YlmH
Exons: 13
Source: RefSeq, a predicted model, not a curated record